CCCAACCCAGUCCAGCUGAACCCAACUGAGGUCAGUCUAACCCAGCCCAGUUCAGCUGAACCCAACUGAGUCCAGUCUAACCCACCCCAGCCCAGCUGAACCCAACUGAGUCCAGUCUAACCCAACCCAACCCAGCUCAGCUGAACCCAACUGAGGUCAGUCUAACCCAGCCCAGUUCAGCUGAACCCAACUGAGUCCAGUCUAACCCAACCCAGCCCAGCUCAGCUGAACCCAACUGAGAUUCUGUACCGCACUGGUGUGUAAACUCUGAACUCCACACAGAGUGUCAUCAGCUCUCCUCACAGCUCAGUCACACACAACAACCCUUCUCCAGCCCCGAACCACGGACACCGCUGCAGCUUCAGCCCCAGAAAGCGCAAGCAGCGAAUUAAGGAGAGCAACCUGGCAGGAUGGGACUGCACAACCUGGAGCUGCAGUUGGACGAUGAACCCCAAUACGGAAAUGGACCAAAACUUACAAAAGUGUGAAAACUCAUGACCUGGAAUCCAGCUUGGGUGUAGCCACGGCCGGGCUCUUGUCCCGCCCAAGCUGUACCCGUGGAGGGAUUCAAUAAAUCCAUGUUUAUUCCUUUA
Molecule: long non-coding RNA, 593 nt
Organism: Vidua macroura (Pin-tailed whydah)
Lineage: Eukaryota; Metazoa; Chordata; Aves; Passeriformes; Viduidae
Exons: 2
Source: RefSeq, a predicted model, not a curated record